GACAGCAGCAGCCACGGUAAUACGUAGGUCCCGAGCGUUGUCCGGAUUUAUUGGGCGUAAAGCGAGCGCAGGCGGUUAGAUAAGUCUGAAGUUAAAGGCUGUGGCUUAACCAUAGUACGCUUUGGAAACUGUUUAACUUGAGUGCAAGAGGGGAGAGUGGAAUUCCAUGUGUAGCGGUGAAAUGCGUAGAUAUAUGGAGGAACACCGGUGGCGAAAGCGGCUCUCUGGCUUGUAACUGACGCUGAGGCUCGAAAGCGUGGGGAGCAAACAGGAUUAGAUACCCCUGUAGUCCCUGUCUCUUAUACA
RNAcentral lists this ribosomal RNA (306 nucleotides) under uncultured bacterium. RNAcentral's name for it is "partial 16S ribosomal RNA". It matches the Rfam family "Bacterial small subunit ribosomal RNA", at positions 507 to 808 of the family's 1533-position model. The record is from RNAcentral.